GCGGAAGUGCUGGAAUUGGCAGACAGGCAAGACUAAGGAUCUUGUGUCUGUAUAGACGUGUGGGUUCAAGUCCCAUCUUCCGCACGA
This 87-nucleotide transfer RNA is filed under the name Lachnospiraceae bacterium XBB1006. RNAcentral's name for it is "tRNA_Leu_AAG". It matches the Rfam family "tRNA". Rfam says of the family: Transfer RNA (tRNA) molecules are approximately 80 nucleotides in length. Their secondary structure includes four short double-helical elements and three loops (D, anti-codon, and T loops). Lineage: Bacteria; Bacillati; Bacillota; Clostridia; Lachnospirales; Lachnospiraceae. The record is from RNAcentral.